AACGCUAGCUACAGGCUUAACACAUGCAAGUCGAGGGGCAGCAUGGUCUUAGCUUGCUAAGGCCGAUGGCGACCGGCGCACGGGUGAGUAACACGUAUCCAACCUGCCGUCUACUCUUGGACAGCCUUCUGAAAGGAAGAUUAAUACAAGAUGGCAUCAUGAGUCCGCAUGUUCACAUGAUUAAAGGUAUUCCGGUAGACGAUGGGGAUGCGUUCCAUUAGAUAGUAGGCGGGGUAACGGCCCACCUAGUCUUCGAUGGAUAGGGGUUCUGAGAGGAAGGUCCCCCACAUUGGAACUGAGACACGGUCCAAACUCCUACGGGAGGCAGCAGUGAGGAAUAUUGGUCAAUGGGCGAGAGCCUGAACCAGCCAAGUAGCGUGAAGGAUGACUGCCCUAUGGGUUGUAAACUUCUUUUAUAAAGGAAUAAAGUCGGGUAUGGAUACCCGUUUGCAUGUACUUUAUGAAUAAGGAUCGGCUAACUCCGUGCCAGCAGCCGCGGUAAUACGGAGGAUCCGAGCGUUAUCCGGAUUUAUUGGGUUUAAAGGGAGCGUAGAUGGAUGUUUAAGUCAGUUGUGAAAGUUUGCGGCUCAACCGUAAAAUUGCAGUUGAUACUGGAUAUCUUGAGUGCAGUUGAGGCAGGCGGAAUUCGUGGUGUAGCGGUGAAAUGCUUAGAUAUCACGAAGAACUCCGAUUGCGAAGGCAGCCUGCUAAGCUGCAACUGACAUUGAGGCUCGAAAGUGUGGGUAUCAAACAGGAUUAGAUACCCUGGUAGUCCACACGGUAAACGAUGAAUACUCGCUGUUUGCGAUAUACAGCAAGCGGCCAAGCGAAAGCGUUAAGUAUUCCACCUGGGGAGUACGCCGGCAACGGUGAAACUCAAAGGAAUUGACGGGGGCCCGCACAAGCGGAGGAACAUGUGGUUUAAUUCGAUGAUACGCGAGGAACCUUACCCGGGCUUAAAUUGCAGAUGAAUUACGGUGAAAGCCGUAAGCCGCAAGGCAUCUGUGAAGGUGCUGCAUGGUUGUCGUCAGCUCGUGCUGUGAGGUGUCGGCUUAAGUGCCAUAACGAGCGCAACCCUUGUUGUCAGUUACUAACAGGUUCCGCUGAGGACUCUGACAAGACUGCCAUCGUAAGAUGUGAGGAAGGUGGGGAUGACGUCAAAUCAGCACGGCCCUUACGUCCGGGGCUACACACGUGUUACAAUGGGGGGUACAGAGGGCCGCUACCACGCGAGUGGAUGCCAAUCCCCAAAACCUCUCUCAGUUCGGACUGGAGUCUGCAACCCGACUCCACGAAGCUGGAUUCGCUAGUAAUCGCGCAUCAGCCACGGCGCGGUGAAUACGUUCCCGGGCCUUGUACACACCGCCCGUCAAGCCAUGGGAGCCGGGGGUACCUGAAGUGCGUAACCGCGAGGAGCGCCCUAGGGUAAAACUGGUGACUGG
Molecule: ribosomal RNA, 1442 nt
Filed under: uncultured organism
Description: SSU rRNA
Rfam family: Bacterial small subunit ribosomal RNA
Source: RNAcentral